Centruroides sculpturatus (bark scorpion) is the source of this 882-nucleotide long non-coding RNA. RefSeq lists it as uncharacterized. Lineage: Eukaryota; Metazoa; Arthropoda; Arachnida; Scorpiones; Buthidae. The transcript is spliced from 2 exons. The record is from RefSeq and is a predicted model, not a curated record.
AUUGAAAACAUUUGUGUUUUAUCUGCAUUAAACUAUUCUGGAAUUGUACUUUUAAGGUUCAGAGGUGUUCUGUUUUUAAUGAUAUACAGUAAUAUAUUCCAGUCUUACAGUGUUUUAACUAUAGUUCUUGUUUUGAAAUUUUCUUCAUAUAAUAUAAUGAUGGGUUUAUUUUAAUAAAAAAUAACUGAUCAUUUGAUUAUCAAAAUCAUUCAAUUCAUUCACUUGUUUCUUUUUGAUACUUUUUAAUCUUAAAAUAAAGGACAAUCUCUCAAAAAAGAAGUGAUUUAAAACAAAACUUUAGUAUUAUGCAUCUUUAGUUGCUAUAGUUCAUAUGAAAGAAUUUUACAGAUUUUAAUGAUUCAUUUGAAUGAACUCAUCACUUAUAUGUAUUAAGUAUUAUUUAUUAUAUAUGAUGGAAAACUUGAGUUAAUGUUGACAGAAUCAAUGCUGUUUACGUGUAGCUGAUUUUAAUUACAUGAAGUUAUGCAAUACUGUUGACUUUAUUCUAAUAGUAAAAUGAUAAUGCCAGACUUUUGUGAUAGAUUAGCCAAAUUCUAGCUCAAAAGUUAAUCUAGCAUUAGCAUUUAAUGCCAUUUACUUUACAUUUAUAGGUUUUUACUCCACCAUCUAAUGAAUUGCUGAAAAUGAGUAUUAUUAAUGCAUAUAACGUAAUGUGUUUUAAAAAACUUCCAAUUAUUUUUCAGCCAUGUUAAUACCAAAACAUUUAUACUGAAGUCGUAGAAAAUUGUGAAAUCGAGCCACUCCAAAAAGUCCAAACAUGCCGGACCUCAAAAUAGCUGUAGUAUGUUCCAGUAAUCAAAACAGAAGCAUGGAAGCACAUGCUUUCCUCAGAAUAAAAUGAAGUACCAAAGAUGAGUGUAG